This 279-nucleotide ribosomal RNA is filed under the name uncultured bacterium. Its description in RNAcentral is "partial 16S ribosomal RNA". It matches the Rfam family "Bacterial small subunit ribosomal RNA", at positions 506 to 784 of the family's 1533-position model. The record is from RNAcentral.
UGCCAGCCGCCGCGGUAAUACAGAGGAUGCAAGCGUUAUCCGGAAUUACUGGGCGUAAAGCGCGCGUAGGUGGUUUGCUAAGUCAGCUGUGAAAGCCCCGGGCUCAACCUGGGAACUGCAGUUGAUACUGGUCGACUAGAGUACGAGAGAGGGAGGUAGAAUUCCAUGUGUAGCGGUGAAAUGCGUAGAUAUAUGGAGGAAUACCAGCGGCGAAGGCGGCCUCCUGGCUCGAUACUGACGCUGAGGUGCGAAAGCGUGGGUAGCAAACAGGAUUAGAUA